RNAcentral lists this long non-coding RNA (587 nucleotides) under Equus caballus (horse). RNAcentral's name for it is "lncRNA (ENSECAG00000034327.3)". The record is from RNAcentral. Lineage: Eukaryota; Metazoa; Chordata; Mammalia; Perissodactyla; Equidae.
AUGUGGGGCCCAGUUCCUCCUCCCCUGACUCUGGGCUGGCCAGGAUGACUCGCUUGUAACCAACGGAAUACGGUGGAAGGGACACUGCCCGAGUCAGGCCAGGCCGGAGGCUAUGCAGAUCCGCCUGGCUCUCAUGGGACACCAGCUCUCUGGACACUCUAUCCCGGGAACCCCCCUCUCCAGAUGCUGCCGCCGUGCCGUGGGAAGCCCGAGCCGUGUGAGAGGCCACGUGGAGGUUCUGGUGACAGGCACAGCGGAGCCGGCCCGCUGAGUCCCUCAGCCCAGGACCCGACAUACAGCCUUCUCCUCUUUGCAAUGAUUCCGGCUGCUUCUUCCUCUUUGGCCCUCAUCCCUUCUCUGCCUCUGCACUCGACCACCGCGAUGACAGAGGCCUCAUGAGUAGACCACCCCUCACAGAUGUUGGCUGGGAUCACCUCUCCGCCCACCUUUCCGUGAAGAGCCGACUAACCAUGCGCUCGGGGGCAGUUCCAGAGCAGGCAAGAUGGGGUGGCGUGAGCGCUCAGGGAUUUGGGAUACAGAGGUGCAGAGAACAGGGCGAUCGUGCUGAGGAGCAGAGGGAGAGGGAG